CAUUAAAGCGGUACGCGAGCUGGGUUCAGAACGUCGUGAGACAGUUCGGUCCCUAUCCGUCGCGGGCGCAGGAAAUUUGAGAGGAGCUGUCCUUAGUACGAGAGGACCGGGAUGGACGCACCGCUGGUGUACCAGUUGUUCUGCCAAGGGCAUCGCUGGGUAGCUAUGUGCGGACGGGAUAAGUGCUGAAAGCAUCUAAGCAUGAAGCCCCCCUCAAGAUGAGAUUUCCCAUUCCGCAAGGAAGUAAGAUCCCUGAAAGAUGAUCAGGUUGAUAGGUCUGAGGUGGAAGCGUGGUGACACGUGGAGCUGACAGAUACUAAUAGAUCGAGGACUUAACCUAU
This 341-nucleotide ribosomal RNA is filed under the name Bacillus pumilus. Its description in RNAcentral is "partial 23S ribosomal RNA". It matches the Rfam family "Bacterial large subunit ribosomal RNA", at positions 2586 to 2925 of the family's 2925-position model. Lineage: Bacteria; Bacillati; Bacillota; Bacilli; Caryophanales; Bacillaceae. The record is from RNAcentral.